GGAGAGUGGAAUUCCAUGUGUAGCGGUGAAAUGCGUAGAUAUAUGGAGGAACACCGGUGGCGAAAGCGGCUCUCUGGUCUGUAACUGACGCUGAGGCUCGAAAGCGUGGGGAGCGAACAGGAUUAGAUACCCUGGUAGUCCACGCCGUAAACGAUGAGUGCUAGGUGUUGGGUCCUUUCCGGGACUCAGUGCCGCAGCUAACGCAUUAAGCACUCCGCCUGGGGAGUACGACCGCAAGGUUGAAACUCAAAGGAAUUGACGGGGGCCCGCACAAGCGGUGGAGCAUGUGGUUUAAUUCGAAGCAACGCGAAGAACCUUACCAGGUCUUGACAUCCCGAUGACCGCCCUAGAGAUAGGGUUUCUCUUCGGAGCAUCGGUGACAGGUGGUGCAUGGUUGUCGUCAGCUCGUGUCGUGAGAUGUUGGGUUAAGUCCCGCAACGAGCGCAACCCCUAUUGUUAGUUGCCAUCAUUCAGUUGGGCACUCUAGCGAGACUGCCGGUAAUAAACCGGAGGAAGGUGGGGAUGACGUCAAAUCAUCAUGCCCCUUAUGACCUGGGCUACACACGUGCUACAAUGGCUGGUACAACGAGUCGCAAGUCGGUGACGGCAAGCUAAUCUCUUAAAGCCAGUCUCAGUUCGGAUUGUAGGCUGCAACUCGCCUACAUGAAGUCGGAAUCGCUAGUAAUCGCGGAUCAGCACGCCGCGGUGAAUACGUUCCCGGGCCUUGUACACACCGCCCGUCACACCACGAGAGUUUGUAACACCCGAAGUCGGUGAGGUAACCUUUUAGGAGCCAGCCGCCUAAGGUGGGAUAGAUGAUUGGGGUGAAGUCGUAACAAGGUAGCCGUAUCGGAAGGUGCGGCUGGAUCACCUCCUUUCUAAGGAAAUGGAAACCUGUACGUCAGUCUUCUUUAAUUUUGAGAGGUCUUGUGGGGCCUUAGCUCAGCUGGGAGAGCGCCUGCUUUGCACGCAGGAGGUCAGCGGUUCGAUCCCGCUAGGCUCCAUUAACAACGGAAGUUGUUAAGAUUUUGUCCAUUGAAAAUUGAAUAUCUAUCAAACAUUCCUAAACGUAUGUAAAAGUACGUAUAGAAAUAGUAACAAGAAAAUAAACCGAAAACGCUGUGAAUAUUUAAUGAGUUUUCUAAUUUUUGAAAAAAUUAGGUUAAAACAAGUUACGAAGACGUUAAGGAAAACGUAUGAUUUUAGGAAAUCAUCGCAGUAGUCUAAGGACUACAAGAGGAUUUGUCUAAAUCACUAGUUUUCUAGUCUGAGUACGAUUAUAAGGUUAAGUUAAUAAGGGCGCACGGUGGAUGCCUUGGCACUAGAAGCCGAUGAAGGACGUGACUAACGACGAAAUGCCUUGGGGAGCUGUAAGUAAGCAAUGAU
This 1386-nucleotide unclassified non-coding RNA is filed under the name Streptococcus suis. RNAcentral's name for it is "bacterial SSU rRNA". The stretch from base 1 to 878 matches the Rfam family "Bacterial small subunit ribosomal RNA", at positions 656 to 1533 of the family's 1533-position model. Lineage: Bacteria; Bacillati; Bacillota; Bacilli; Lactobacillales; Streptococcaceae. The record is from RNAcentral.